This 375-nucleotide ribosomal RNA is filed under the name uncultured alga. RNAcentral's name for it is "bacterial LSU rRNA". It matches the Rfam family "Bacterial large subunit ribosomal RNA", at positions 2098 to 2465 of the family's 2925-position model. The record is from RNAcentral.
GCUUGACUGUAUCCUGGAAUUGGGUUUCGGUUUUUCUUGCGCAGUCUAGGUGGGAGGCUAUGAAGAUUUCCUUCCGGGGAAAUUAGAGCCAUCAGUGAGAGACCACUCUGGAAGAACUAAAAUUCUAAUGCGUCCUUGAAUCAGGUAUCGCGUUAGGACAGUUUCAGGUGGGCAGUUUUGACUGGGGCGGUCGCCUCCUAAAAGGUAACGGAGGCGCGCAAAGGUUCUCUCAAGGCUGGUUGGAAAUCAGCCAUAGAGUGUAAAGGCAUAAAGAGAGCUUGACUGUGAGACCUACAAGUCGAACAGGGACGAAAGUCGGUCUUAGUGAUCCGACGGCAGAGCGUGGAAUCGCCGUCGCUAAACGGAUAAAAGUUA